This 429-nucleotide ribosomal RNA is filed under the name Triticum aestivum (bread wheat). RNAcentral describes it as "partial small subunit ribosomal RNA". Lineage: Eukaryota; Viridiplantae; Streptophyta; Magnoliopsida; Poales; Poaceae. The record is from RNAcentral.
AUGAGAUCAAGGCAGGUUGACACAAUCCGCAUACUCACAGAGAAAGAGAUAAAGAGAGCCACUGAUAACUAUAAUGAAGAUCGAGUUAUUGGACGUGGUGGUCAUGGUAUGGUCUACAGAGGAACUUUGGAUGACCAAAAAGAGGUUGCCAUAAAUAAGUCUAAAGCAAUCAACAAUGAUUGGAGACAAGAAUUUGUCAACGAGAUUAUAAUCUUGUCACAGAUCAAUCACCGAAACAUUGUGAGAUUACUCGGCUGUUGUCUGGAUGUAGAUGUCCCAAUGUUGGUUUAUGAGUUUGUCUCCCAUGGUACUCUAUCUGAGUUCCUUCAUGGUGCCGCACCUAGAUCUCCAAUCCCAUUCGAUCUUCGCCUGAAGAUUGCUACACAGUCAGCAGAAGCUCUAGCUUACUUACAUUCGUCAACAUCUCGC